AGUCCUAUUAACUUGCCCCUAUAUACGUGUCCUUGUCCUUCCAGGUUGGGGAAGCUCUUGAUAUAGCACCAUGCGUGCGUGUCGAAUGGAUGUGUGCACAAAGGGAUGGAUGAAGAGAAACGGGAAGAACGGCAUUCCUGUGCUCACACUCGGCGAGGACAAGUUCCUCCAAAGGGAAUAGACCCCUGGUGGGAAACGAAGACAAGAAGAGACCACGUCCGGUUCUGGUUUCUGCUGGAACUGCACCAGCCAGAGGGCAAACGUCCCUGGGAUCAACGUCUUUGGGAAAUGGAGGAGAGCAGGGAAAGCGCCUUGUACGGCUCGUCGUGCUCGGAGAACAGACGCCCAGGGGACAACUGAUUCGCCAUGUGGGUUUGUGUUCCCAAGGGUGAUGAGGACGAUUGUCAUAAUGGCA
This 415-nucleotide long non-coding RNA is filed under the name Ictidomys tridecemlineatus (thirteen-lined ground squirrel). RNAcentral's name for it is "lncRNA (ENSSTOG00000030578.1)". Lineage: Eukaryota; Metazoa; Chordata; Mammalia; Rodentia; Sciuridae. The record is from RNAcentral.